Molecule: ribosomal RNA, 465 nt
Filed under: Vreelandella stevensii
Lineage: Bacteria; Pseudomonadati; Pseudomonadota; Gammaproteobacteria; Oceanospirillales; Halomonadaceae
Description: partial 16S ribosomal RNA
Rfam family: Bacterial small subunit ribosomal RNA
Source: RNAcentral
CCUACGGGAGGCUGCAGUGGGGAAUAUUGGACAAUGGGGGCAACCCUGAUCCAGCCAUGCCGCGUGUGUGAAGAAGGCCCUCGGGUUGUAAAGCACUUUCAGUGAGGAAGAACGCCUGGUGGUUAAUACCCAUCAGGAAAGACAUCACUCACAGAAGAAGCACCGGCUAACUCCGUGCCAGCAGCCGCGGUAAUACGGAGGGUGCGAGCGUUAAUCGGAAUUACUGGGCGUAAAGCGCGCGUAGGUGGCUUGAUAAGCCGGUUGUGAAAGCCCCGGGCUCAACCUGGGAACGGCAUCCGGAACUGUCAAGCUAGAGUGCAGGAGAGGAAGGUAGAAUUGCCGGUGUAGCGGUGAAAUGCGUAGGGAUCGGGAGGAAUACCAGUGGCGAAGGCGGCCUUCUGGACUGACACUGACACUGAGGUGCGAAAGCGUGGGUAGCAAACAGGAUUAGAUAACCGGGUAGUC